GGUGGCACUGUGAGCCAAUGCGUCUGACUGUUAACCAGAAGGUUGGUGGUUCGAGCCUACCCUGCAGGGCA
Non-coding RNA from Podarcis lilfordi (Lilford's wall lizard), 71 nucleotides. Lineage: Eukaryota; Metazoa; Chordata; Lepidosauria; Squamata; Lacertidae. The record is from the annotation of a GenBank genome assembly.